RNAcentral lists this unclassified non-coding RNA (888 nucleotides) under Alternaria alternata. Its description in RNAcentral is "sequence contains ITS1, 5.8S rRNA gene". The stretch from base 106 to 259 matches the Rfam family "5.8S ribosomal RNA". Lineage: Eukaryota; Fungi; Ascomycota; Dothideomycetes; Pleosporales; Pleosporaceae. The record is from RNAcentral.
UGACUUUUGCAUACUUCUUGUUUCCUUGGUGGGUUCGCCCACCACUAAGGACAAACAUAAACCUUUUGUAAUUGCAAUCAGCGUCAGUAACAAAUUAAUAAUUACAACUUUCAACAACGGAUCUCUUGGUUCUGGCAUCGAUGAAGAACGCAGCGAAAUGCGAUAAGUAGUGUGAAUUGCAGAAUUCAGUGAAUCAUCGAAUCUUUGAACGCACAUUGCGCCCUUUGGUAUUCCAAAGGGCAUGCCUGUUCGAGCGUCAUUUGUACCCUCAAGCUUUGCUUGGUGUUGGGCGUCUUGUCUCUAGCUUUGCUGGAGACUCGCCUUAAAGUAAUUGGCAGCCGGCCUACUGGUUUCGGAGCGCAGCACAAUUCCCACUCUCUAUCACCAAAGGUCUAGCAUCCAUUAAGCCUUUUUUUCAACUUUUGACCUCGGAUCAGGUAGGGAUGACUUUUGCAUACUUCUUGUUUCCUUGGUGGGUUCGCCCACCACUAAGGACAAACAUAAACCUUUUGUAAUUGCAAUCAGCGUCAGUAACAAAUUAAUAAUUACAACUUUCAACAACGGAUCUCUUGGUUCUGGCAUCGAUGAAGAACGCAGCGAAAUGCGAUAAGUAGUGUGAAUUGCAGAAUUCAGUGAAUCAUCGAAUCUUUGAACGCACAUUGCGCCCUUUGGUAUUCCAAAGGGCAUGCCUGUUCGAGCGUCAUUUGUACCCUCAAGCUUUGCUUGGUGUUGGGCGUCUUGUCUCUAGCUUUGCUGGAGACUCGCCUUAAAGUAAUUGGCAGCCGGCCUACUGGUUUCGGAGCGCAGCACAAUUCCCACUCUCUAUCACCAAAGGUCUAGCAUCCAUUAAGCCUUUUUUUCAACUUUUGACCUCGGAUCAGGUAGGGA